Molecule: ribosomal RNA, 484 nt
Filed under: uncultured bacterium
Lineage: Bacteria
Description: partial 16S ribosomal RNA
Rfam family: Bacterial small subunit ribosomal RNA
Source: RNAcentral
AUUGAACGCUGGCGGCAGGCCUAACACAUGCAAGUCGAGCGGAUGAAGGGAGCUUGCUCCUGGAUUCAGCGGCGGACGGGUGAGUAAUGCCUAGGAAUCUGCCUGGUAGUGGGGGAUAACGUCCGGAAACGGGCGCUAAUACCGCAUACGUCCUGAGGGAGAAAGUGGGGGAUCUUCGGACCUCGCGCUAUCAGAUGAGCCUAGGCCGGAUUAGCUAGUUGGUGGGGUAAAGGCCUACCAAGGCGACGAUCCGUAACUGGUCUGAGAGGAUGAUCAGUCACACUGGAACUGAGACACGGUCCAGACUCCUACGGGAGGCAGCAGUGGGGAAUAUUGGACAAUGGGCGAAAGCCUGAUCCAGCCAUGCCGCGUGUGUGAAGAAGGUCUUCGGAUUGUAAAGCACUUUAAGUUGGGAGGAAGGGCAGUAAGUUAAUACCUUGCUGUUUUGACGUUACCAACAGAAUAAGCACCGGCUAACUUCGUG